UACGUAGGGACCAAGCGUUGUUCGGAUUUACUGGGCGUAAAGGGCGCGUAGGCGGCGCGGUAAGACACUUGUGAAAUCUCUGAGCUUAACUCAGAACGGCCAAGUGAUACUGCAGUGCUAGAGUGUGGAAGGGGCAAUCGGAAUUCUUGGCGUAGCGGUGAAAUGCGUAGAUAUCAAGAGGAACACCUGAGGUGAAGACGGGUUGCUGGGCCAACACUGACGCUGAGGAGCGAAAGCGUGGGGAGCGAACAGG
Molecule: ribosomal RNA, 253 nt
Filed under: uncultured bacterium
Lineage: Bacteria
Description: partial 16S ribosomal RNA
Rfam family: Bacterial small subunit ribosomal RNA
Source: RNAcentral